This 23216-nucleotide long non-coding RNA is filed under the name Mytilus galloprovincialis (Mediterranean mussel). The record is from RNAcentral. Lineage: Eukaryota; Metazoa; Mollusca; Bivalvia; Mytilida; Mytilidae.
GUGAUUAUGGACUUUCCGAAUUGAUUUUCCUCUAAGUUCAGUAUGUUUGUGAUUUUACUUUUUUCUAUCAAUAGAAUCUUCCUAAUUCAACAAAAACACAUCUUGGUAUGGCUCUAUGAAGUUAAGUCUUGCAUCAAUCAUCUAUCUUUACCAUUUUCAAAAUUUAAUAGCUUCAAAGCUAAUAUAAAAAACAAAUUAAUUCAUAUUUUAUAGACUUGGGGAACACUGAUUUGUAAAGCAUUCAGAUGGUAAACAUAGAACUUAAGUUACAUUAAAAUCAGUUUUUGGAAGAAAAAAAUAUCUUUCCAUUAAAGGGAAUUUUGAAAAGAGACGAAGCUUAACAAAUCUCGGAAUUUCAUCACAUCACUUAAGAAUAAAGUCCGGGAGGUAUUAGGGUACUCUCAUAAUUUACAGAACUUGUACUUGUUGUAACUCUGGAGAUGUGAAGGAUAAAUAUCCUUUUCUACUCCAAUGUGUUAAAUUCAGUGAUGACCGCAAUCAUCUAUUUCAAGAGAUAACUAAAAGUUGCCCCAACUUUUUAACUCUCAACGCAAGUGAUAAACUGAUAUGGCUUAUGCACAAAGAAGAUCAGUCUAUUCUCACUGCUGCAUGUAAUUUUUUUCGAAAAAUUGUUAACUAUGUGGCUUUCUUGUCUGCUUAAGACACAAGGAGAACUGUGUAAAUACCACAGCUCCUUGAGUACCGCCCAUUGGUGUCUGUUGCAGUAGGGAAACCUACACUAUUCCCAGUACCUCUUACUGCAGUUUAUUUUAUUUGCUGUGAAUAUACAUAAACGUUUUACAUUUGUACUUGUUUUUCUGCAUCAGAUACAAAAAGGAUUGUCAGAGCUUUUAAGAUCACAAUCCUAGAGCAUCGUCCCUUGGUGUCUGUUGCCGGUAAACAAUCAUUUAUAUUUAUACAUUUCCAGCAAAAUAUUAUAAAAUCAAGUGAGAAAAAAAGUAAAUUGAUAUAUAAUAAAAGUUUGCCACAUCUCUGGAGUAGCAACUCCUAAAUACGUUUUCAUUUAACAAAUAAUACCUGUAUCAAUUUAUUUCAAUAGUUUUUUUUCACAAUGUUAUGUAAAAUACUAUCACUUAUAUAUGUUAUGUGUAUAUGCCCCCCUUGGGACCUAAUUGGAAAAUAUAAUUUGUCUUAUUUUAUAUUUAUGUUAUCUAUACAGAUGAUUGCAAUAUAAACGAUAUCACAGACUAACAAGAAGGUAGGUGAAUGGAAUUACAUCAGUGAUUUGCAGUUUAGUUAAGGGUCUCCGGACAUGCUUACCAAGUUAAUAUUGCAAUUAUUGAUAUAGUUCCUACCAUUACGCGAUGUUGUCCUUUGAAAAAAAACAUUAAUAGUUAUCAAAGGUACCAGGAGCAUAAUUAAUUACGCCAGACGCGCGUUUCGUCUACAAGAGACUCAUCAGUGACGCUCAGAUCUAAAUAGUUGUAAAGCCAAACAAGUACAAAGUUGAAGAGCAUUGAGGACCCAAAAUUCCAAAAUGUUGUGCCAAAUACGGCUAAGGUAAUCUAUUCAUGGGAUAAGAAAAUCCUUAGUUUUUCAAAAAAUUCAAGGUUUUGUAACAGAAAAUUUAUAAAAAUGAUCAAAUAAUUUUUAUUCAUGUCAACACCGAAGUGCUGACUACUGGGCUGGUGAUACCCUCGGGGACGAAACGUCUACCAGCAGUGGCAUCGACCCAGUGGUGUAAAUAGUUAUCAAAGGUACCAGGAUUAUAAUUUGUUACGCCAGACGCGCGUUUCGUCUACAAGAGACUCAUCAGUGACGCUCAGAUCUUAAUAGUUGUAAAGCCAAACAAGUACAAAGUUGAAGAGCAUUGAGGACCCAAAAUUCCAAAAUGUUGUGCCAAAUACGGCUAAGGUAAUCUAUUCCUGGGAUAAGAAAAUCCUUAGUUUUUCAAAAAAUUCAAGGUUUUGUAACAGAAAAUUUAUAAAAAUGAUCAAAUAAUUGAUAUUCAUGUCAACACCGAAGUGCUGACUACUGGGCUGGUGAUACCCUCGGGGUAUAAUAGUUAUUGUGUUAGUGAUUAAACCACUUUUAUGAUUUCGCCAGAAGGUAUCUAUGUGUGGGAAUGUUAGAUAAGCAAUGAUCACGUAUGUUUUAAAAUAGGACUAUGAAAUUCCAUCAAACUAUCAUAAUCAUUUUUUUCAAAGAUACUUUAAUUUUCGAAUUACAUUUAUUAUCUCAUGUCAAUGUUUUGGCUGGACGUUUUCAGCGAGCUAUUAAUUUAAAAACCUAUUAAGCAGAAGUUGUAUUGGCUGUCAGCAACAGUAUUGUGUUUUGAUUUUUUUUUAUAGUCGCAAUAAUUGAAAAGAUCUUUAGGCUGAACGUUGGACUUUAGCUUCAUAUAGAUAUAUGAAAACAAAAUGAUUUAAACCAUAUUUUAUAAUUACUUUGUUUUUAACUUAGUGCGGCUUAUAAUUACUCUUAUACUACUACUAUGCAUGGAUCUUUCCUUUUUCGAUAUGUUCAUAUCAAGAUUUGAUAAUCAAAAUUGAUUAACACUGGCGUUAAAUGUUAUCAUAAAUAUCUAUAAGCAGAUUUCAAUGUCACCUUCAGGACUUUGUAAACAGAUUUCAAUGACACCUUCAGGACUUUGGAAAAAUAUUUUAAUGUCCCCUUCAGGACCUUGUAAACAGAUUUUAAUGUCACCUUCAGGACUUUGUAAACAGAUUUUAAUGUCACCUUCAGGACUUUGUAAACAGAUCUUUAUAUCGCCUUCAGGAUUUUGUUAACGAAUUUCAAUGUCACCUUCAGGACUAUGUAAACAGAUUUCAAUGUCACCUUCAGGACUUUUUAAACAGAUUUUAAUGUCACCUUCAAGACUUUGUAAACAGAUUUCAAUGCCACCUUCAGGACUUUGUAAACAGAUUUUAAUGUCACCUUCAGGUCUUUGUAAAUAGAUUUUAAUGUCACCUUCAGGACUUUGAUAAAACGCACAAAGUAUUUCAUGUCCUCAUUUUUAAUAAGAGAACAUAGCAAAUCUUACAAAUUUCGGAUUUUUCAUUUAGUUUUUGAUUUUGGCUUUGUAAACCUAUUUAUAAAGGAUGUAAUUACAUUGUUGUAGAUUUGUGAUAGUCUUAUAACCUAUUACAUCGUUCUUUAGGAGUACAGUGAUUUUACUGUACUGGUUUUAUCGUUGCAUUUUCUUUUGCAUACCAUCCAUGACAUAAAAAUAAGAAGAUGUGGUAUAAUUGUCAAUGACACAACUCUCAACAAGAGACCUGUUGAAGUAUAAAUCCAGUAAUUGCUAUUCAAACGGUCACAAUUGAUGUAGACAGUGUCUUAUGUCAUAUUAUAAUGAUUUGUUGAGUUUUAUUUUGUGGUUUGAAGAUUGUCAGAUGUUUGAUUAAUUUAGAAAAUUGAAAAGUCUAGAGAUAAUUGAAAGCUUGGCAUAUUGUUUCGAUACAUAUCUGUUAUAAGAUACUGCAUUUUGCUCUUUUUUCUGCUCCGUGUAUAUUUUUAUCGUUAGGCUUCUGACUGAUUGAUAUAUACCCAAAAUCCCUUUUCAAUAUCAUCUGUUAUAUCAAUUCGUAACAUGUGAGUUCCUGGACGACUAAAAGCUUGACAUUGUAUAUGUUCUAUUGUUAAGACUGUAAGUAUACCUCUAAAAGUAUUUUUGUUUUGUUUUCGUUUUUUUUUUUUUUUUUUGCUGUUUCAUGGUCAAGCCUGUUUUUAGAACUCUAGAAAACUCUUGUGUUUUGGAGUCUUGUGGUCGAUGUUUCAUUGAUACAUACCCAACGCCUGAGUGUUGCCAAAUAUGAUAUGCUUCAAUUACGACGCUUUUGGUUUUCCGAAGCUAAAUUACUCAUUUUGUUUUGGUUUUUCAUAUUUUGGAAAUCAAACCAACAAUUUGCUUAUCUUUUUGCACGAAUCGCUGUGAAAAAUCAAAUUAUCGUUUUAGACCAAGUACUACCAAUUUACAGCGUAGUAAUAAGAUUUAUGUGCAGAGCUGAUUUUUUUAAAAAGAUUAUUUUACAUUGUUAUAUAUGUUUAACUGUCAAAAUAACUGUCAACAUUGCAAUAAGUGUUCAUGAAAUCACGUUUUGGGCUGUGUUAAGUAAUUUUAUGGAAAUUUAAAUUAAAAUUCACUGUUUGAACAUUAUUACGAAACAGUUAUAUUGCAUAAAAACCUUCACACUCGUGUAUCAGGACAAUACAGUUAAGGAGCUAUGUUUAUAUGUCAAAUUGGAGAAUGAAUAGAAAAAGAAAACUAUAAUACUGUUUUUAUAAUUCGAUUAUACUAACACUCGAGCGACAUUCAAAUAUUUUCUACUUAAACGUGAAAAAAUGGCACUACUUCUCUGCACUAUUUCUCGCCUACGAUUAUAGCGACCACGUGAUCAUUGUACACUGAUAUAGACAAUUGUCUGUAUCUCGAAUUAAUAAUGUAGAUAAAUGUGAGUCAAGUAAUUAAUUCUGAAUUGUUUAAGUAACAUUAUCUUCCUUUGUAAUGGUUCUGACAUAUGAAAAUUAUUUUAUAAUAUCUGUCUCUUCGAAAUAACAUAAAAAAAAUGUUGUGCACAAUUUAAAAUAACCCACUAUGCGGUACAUAGCACAUAUUGAUAUUACUAGUUGCAUUUCGUAUAUGGGAUAUUACAAAUCCAGUUUUUGAGUGUUUUUCAGGAUUAUAUAUUAACUUCCAAAAUGUGAAAAACUAUUUUAUCAAUAAACAGUAUGAUGUCAAUAAAAAGAAAUAAGUUCUGUAUUAUUUUCCUGUCAGUCCUACCUACAGUGAAGAUAUAUUUAUAAUCCCAAAAUGUUCUAAAAGGUACUUUCUUUCGAUCAAUACAUCCAUCAUAUAUUUAGUUCGUAACUCGUAUAUGUUUAUAUUUCCGAAAGGAAAUAAUUGUCUAAACACAGGUUUACUGCAAACCGAUGAUUUUGUAUUCGUAGUUUUCAAAGAAAGACGAAAGACAACUAAGGGAUAUUCAUAAUAAUAAAUCGAAAAAAACUGAUAAUGCAAUGACUUACAACGAUCAAAUGACAAACAACGGUAUACAAAAUAAAACAGUAAAUUAGAGACUUAAUCACAUGGUUAGAACUUUUUGUAGUACAUAAACUCCUAAAAAUAUCUUGUUUGUACUCUGUCAACUGACAACUAAAAAAGAAUAAAGACUGAGAUAAAUCUCAAAGAUAUGUUAACAUCUGUGACACAUUCUCAUCGUUACUGUUUAUUCUAUCGCACUGGGACCGGAUACGUCUUAGAACAAUGACAGCUAGUAAAUGAAUGUUUAGGCACUUGGUACUAGAAUGAACUAUAAUAUCCAUUCUUAACGUCAUUUUCAAAUUUGUCUUUCAAAUAGUCCAAUUGACAAUAGUCAUGUAAUAGUACAUAGUAAAUUGAAUCUACGAAAUAAUCGGAAAAUGAAGUGAUUAGAACAAUAAAGGUAUCAGUAGUAUUCCGAUGUUCAAAACUCAUAAAUCAAUAGAAAAAAACAAAUCCGGGUCACAAACCAAAACCGAGGGAAGCGCAUCAAAUAUACGAGGAGAAUGACGACACAACAUUAAAAUGUAACAUACACAGAAACGAACUAAGCAUUAGAUUAUAUCCGAUGAGAAUAACAAAUAUAACAUCAAAACUAAAUACAUGAAUUUGGGAUAGAAAAGUACCAUGACACGUCUUAUUAAUAAUGUGAAUUGACACUCAAAUAUGAAAAAUUGUCGUUUAAGACUAAAAGUCUCGACAAUUAAUUGUGUUGGUCAUUAAAUGAAACCACUUAAUUAACAAUAAGUUUGGUUCACAUAAUUAUCAUAUUAAGAAAAGUUAUUACACAUUUAUUGAUAUUUAGGUUACAUAGGUAUUUAGGUAAUGCAACGUUAAAUACUAGUGUGUAAGAGGCUUAGCGAUAUGAGACCAGGUUUAAUCCGCCAUUUUCUACAUUGAAAAUGCCUGUACCGAAUCAGGAAUAUGACAUUUCUUGUCCAUUCGUUUUUUAUGUGUUUUGUCAUUUGAUUUUGCAAUCUGAUUCGGAGCUUUCCGAUUUGAUUUUCCUCUGAGUUCAGUGUUUUUCUGAUUUUACUUUUUUAUGACUUUUUUUGUUUCUUUGGUUCUUAUAACGUGACUAUGUACUUUAAAAGAUCAUGUCAGUAUGUUAUUGUUCUAUAUGUCCUUAUGUUAUAUUUCUAUUAUGAAUUAGAAAAUACGUUGAACCACAAACGUCAAAUCAUUCAAUCGAGUAGUAAAAUGAAAUAUUUGUGGAUUCUUAUAAAUUCUACAGAGCUUUUGGACUAUUAUAAAUCUCGGUCUAUUUCUGAAACUAAUUCUUACAUACUUUGGAUUGUUUAACUCUAUAUACUUACAUUAUCAGUUUAAAAUUUUAGAGUUGUUUUGUAUAAACAUUGAACGACAAAGAUAUGUGACGUAUAAAUUUUCUGACGUCAGACUAGAAGUAAUGAAUUUGUUUGUAGAUAGAUGUUUCUGUGUUCUGUUAAAUUGUUCCUUUUAAAAUUGUUACACGAUGAUGACUACUGUACCCAUAUUUUGACUAUUUUAUUUAUUAUGUCUGUUAAGUUCACGCAUCAUUGUAAAUAUAACGAAAUUUGAUGAGACUUUCAACAAAGUGAGAGGUUAAGCGCUAUAAAACCAGGUUUAAUUUACCAUUUUCUACAUUUGAAAAUGCCUGUACAAAGUCAGGAAUAUGACAGUUCUUGUCCAUUCGUUUUUUAAGGUGUUUUGUCAUUUGCUAUGUGAUUAGUGACUUUUCGAUUUGAUUUUCCUCUGAGUUCAGUAUUUUUGUGAUUUUACUUUUUUGUUCAUCCGUAUAAAAUAUGGAUAUGAUAUGAUUGCAAACGAGAAAAUUAAUAAUAAUGACAAAUUCAGAUUUGACCAAAUAAGGUUGACAUUAUUAGUCAUCGUAAAAUUCAUCUGAUCAUUCUCAAGGAUAAAUAACGUGGAUAAAAUUGAGGUCAUACUGCUGUAAGAUAUGGUCAUUGUAUAAAAAAGACUUUAACUUAAUCGGUAAAGAUAUAUCUGAAUGUUUCUUUCGUAUUACAACGACGGCUGUAGAUAUACAUUUUCCUUAAAGGCUUAAAUAUAAACCAAAUGUUUGUUAAUUAUUGGUACGAACUGAAUUCCCUUGAAAUGUCGUAACAUCGGAUGUAAAUGGACAUUGUUGAUUGGAAUUUGUUCUUUGUCCGUAAUGUACUUGUUUUACAUUGAUAAUCUUAUUUAUUGUUGUAAUCACAAGUACCCAGGAAUUUGCAUUUUUAUCUGUUUGGAUAAGGAGAAAUAAUGGGAAAGCAUGAUCUGUAUCUGACAACGUCACAAUCAAUUCUUAAGUCCACUGCAAUUUACAUAAUCAUUUAUUAUGACUUAUAUACAGCCAGUGCAAUAUGCUUAGUGGAGCUUGUAUAGAAUAACUUCAUAUUUUAACAUAUGAUAGCAUAUCAGGUGUUGCUAGAAAACCCAUCCUGAAGCCAAAAAAGUUUUCGUUAAAAGAGAAAAACAUCAUAGAUAACAGGAAAAAAAUAAGACAUUAAAUGUCAUCAUACAAAAUUCAAAUAUAAAUACAUGUUUUAAAAACAUGUCAAGCUUUUAACAAUUGGACAAUUUCACCCUUGAUUCGACAUCCGAUAGACAAAUACUUUGGUAGAAAUCAUACAAUUUAAACACUGAACUGAACCACAAAAUAUGUUUGGAAGUUAAUUCCUUAAAAUCAUAUCUAUACAAAUCGUGCACGCUUUAUAAAAAAGGGGAGACAAUUAUAAAGAUUAGACCUAUGUUUUCCCCGUUUGAAUGGUUUUACACUAGUACUUUUGGGGCCCUUUAUGGCUUAUUGUUCGCUGUGAACCAAUUCUUCGUGUUGAAGGCCGUCGUUGACCUACAAUAGUUUACUUUUAUAAGUUGUAAUUUGGAUGAGGUGUCUCAUUGGCACUCACACUACAUCUUCCCAUAUCUACCUUUUGAAAAUUUUAACAAUAUGAAACAACAGAACUAUGAAUAUAUAUUUCUAAAUACUACAAUGUACUUUAUUUAAGGUUAAUAAAUUCACUUGUACUUGUUUAAAGUUCAUUUGGAUGUGGAUAUAUGACAAUACCUAACAAAGCUACAUGUAUAUGUUUAACUUUGGUCCACUUUUGUUUUGUUUUUUGUCUUUUAUUAUUUGGUUAAAAAACGGAACAUGUUCCGUUUAUUUUUUAUAUCAAUUCAGAAUUUUAUUACGUCAGAAUGUAUUGACCUUGCUUUAUUCUGAUUGAACUUAAAAUAUUACAUUCGAAUGUUCAAUGAUGUUCGAAUUAACAUGCAAAUAUAGGAUAUAAACAAAACAGUAAUAUUUAUAUAAAAAGGAAGAUGUGGUAUAAUUGCCAAAAAGAGACAACUCGCCACAAGUGACCAAAUGACACAGAAAUCAACACUAUAUGGUGCCAUAAUAUAUAUAUAUAUAUAGGUGUAAUACCACCAAAUCAUGGUACGUCACAUCCGAAAGUAGGUCGAAAAAAAAUUCCCUUGAAUUUGACAGUUGUAGGUAAUUAAUCCUACAUUUUAUUGCAGUAAAACCAUUUUUGUGUCAUAAACAUAUGUCUUGGGUAUUUCAAAACACCAUUAUUUUUUAUUUGGGUUUUCUAUAGAAAAUUUUGUAAUCUUGAGGUUACAUGGUGACUAAACCUUGUACACAGGUAAAAUAAGUGGAGAAAUUUGAUUGUUUAACUUCCAAUGAUGGUUAUUUUCUUAUAUGCAAUGAAAUGUUAUGUGAAUUUUUUUCUAUAGAACUGGACAGGAUAAAACUUUACUCAUGCCAAGUAUUUCUUUAUUUGAAACAAGGAUAAAUUCUGCACAUUUUUUUUGAAAAGUGCAAAUUUAACAAAGACUAAUAGGGGAAAAUCAAUGGUGGUAUUACACCUAUAUAUAAAAGAAGAUGUGGUAUGAUUGCCAAUAAGACAAAUCUCCACAAGAGACUAAAUGACACAAAAGUUAACAAAAUAAUAAUUUACUAAAGGUUACCAUACGACAUUCAAAAAUGAGUGAACCCAAUGUAAUGCUUGUUCACUGACAUUUAACAAUAAUAUUCAACCUCCUACGAUACAAAAUUUCUAUCUUUUUUUUAUCCAUUUGAAUAUAUAACAGAUUGAAAUAAGAAAUUAGUCAUAAUAUCCAUAUUUGAGUAAUGAUAAAGAAUUUCAAGAUGAUUUAUUUUACUAAAAUUACCUUGUUGAAAACGUUAUGAAAUUGCCAAUGACUGAGUUAGAUUCUUUGACAAGUAAAUCAAAAUCAAAGAAAGAAGCAGUGUAAAGGAAAACAAGAUGCGUCGACUUAUAGCAACAGUUAAUUACUGAUGGUUAUAUCUCAAAUACGACUGAGGCUAUCAUUGCCUAGUUGUAGAAAACAAUUUACAAAUAGGUGGUAUGUGAACAACUUGUUUGUUCAUUUUUGAGUCAAUUGCUAAAAGUACAACUAAAAACUCAUCUAUAUUAAAAUAUCAAGUGGUAUUUUUAUACUUAGUGUAUCUAUCUUUUUAUCAACACUAUGUUUUGUCAUCAGUUUCAAAUAUGGGAGAAUAGUAGACUGUCUUAAUUUUGCAAAUUAAGACCUUUGGCAAGUAUUCCUUUACUUUUUUUGACAUCUAUCUGAGUUUUAAAGUUGAAGCCCAGAUUAUGAAUUUCAAUUUGAAAUGAUAUUGAAUAUAAUGAGCUAAAUUUUUAUUUUGAAAUUUCAGACAGAGAAGUUGUGCAUGCCAUCAUGGAACAAUUAAUGAUCAACAGUAAUGGUCAAGAUACUGAGGUUAGAUAUUUAAACUGAUCUCCCUUUUCUUAAUUGUCUGAGUUAUUUUCCUUUCCUGAGUUAUCCCCAUGAUCUAAAUAUUCAAGUUUAUUCCCUUUUCUGAGUUGUCCCCUUUUUCUUAAUUAUCUCCCAUUAUCUGAGUUAUCCCUGUUAUCUUAAUUAUCUGAGUUAUCUCCUAUUAUUUUAAUAUCUGAGUUAUUUCCCUUAUCUGAGUUUUCCCCAUUAUCCUAAUUAUCUGAGUUAUCUCUUAUCUUAUUUACUUCCCUAAGCUGAAUUAUCCGAGUUAUUUCCCUAAGCUGAGUUAUCUCCCUUUAUCGUAAUUAUCUGAGUUAUCCCCAUUAUCUUAAUUAUCUGAGUUAUCUUCCAUUAUCUUAAAUAUCUGAGUUAUCUCCCAUUAUCUUAAUUAUCUGAGUUAUCUCCCCUUGUCUUAAUUAUCUGAGUUAUCUCCCUUGUCUUAUUUUUCUGAAUAAUUUCCCUUAUCUGAGUUAUCUUCCAUUAUUUUAAUUAUCUGAGUUAUUUCCCUUGUCUUAAUUAAUUAUGAGUUAUUUCCGUUAUCUGACUUAUCUGCAUUAUCUCAAUUAUUUCCCUUGUCUUAAUUAUCUGAGUUAUUUCCCUUAUUUGACUUAUCCAACAUUAUCUUAAUUAUCUAAGUUACCUCCCUUUCUUCAAUUAUCUGUGUUAUUUCCCUUAUCUGACUUAUCUACAUUAUCUGACUUAUCUACAUUAUCUUAAUUAUCUCCCUUGUCUUAAUUAUCUGAGUUGUUCCGUUAGAGCUAUCCAGUAAAAAUUAUCAGGGGGGGUGGAACGCCACUUAUUUUUGACCCCCACUAUGGAAAAGAUUAAAAAAAAUACACCCCACCUAGAACAUGUAUUUUCUUCCCAAGACCCCCUACCUAGAGAAAAAAAAUAAAAAGUUAGCUAGUUUUUUAAAGUAUACAAAAAUUGUUGCAUCCUGUCAAAUAAUGUAAAAUUUUUGGUUUAUCUAUUUCAGUGCAUCCAAAAAGGAGGCCCCCUGCCCCCCCCUAAAUCCGCAGCUGGUCUCAAUGGCAAUCAUACCACAUCUUCUUUUUAUACUAGCUAUGUUGCUAUUAAAAUAUAAAAUAAACAUAGUAAACAAUGUUAUGGAGCCAGCAGACGACAGAUUGCAACAUGACGGCAAUAGCUCACAGUGACCGAAAAAGGGGGGUGCGAUUUUCAAUUAUGGCCAAUUUUAUUUUUAAAACUGUCAAUAACAUUUUCAGGUUACGACAUAUUUCUUCAGGUGGGGAACUGGUUGGCACCAACCAUUUGAUGUUUCAGAGUUUAGUUUGAGCCAUAAAAUAUUUUUUGGUAGGCGCACAAUGUAAUUCUUUUUUUUUAUUUUUUUGUAUUUCUUAUAUACAUUUUUUUUCAAUAGGCACAAUGUUGAGGAAGAUGAUAUACUCUCCUGUGUAACAAGGCAUAUCUUUUCCGCAGAAAAUUAGCCAUUUUUUUCCUUCAAUACCAUCCCACGCAACAUGCGCAAUAAAAAUCUAUAUUGUGUCACUCGUGCCAAAUAUAAAUAUAUUUUUUAUGGACGCGCAUAGUUUGGAUGUCACCCACACAUAUUUGUUUGUGGAGACGGUAUACAAUGGAGAGGGUACUUGAAAGUUUGUUAUAAACUGUAUGCAAUAAAAUAUUAUUUGGACAAAAAAUUGCAAAGAAUUGGCCAGUCUCACCUAUUAAGUGACAUAUUUCUUCUGCAAGGAAGCAGAUUUAAGUACAGCAAAUUUCUGCCAAAAAACUCUCAAUUUCUAUGAAUAUACAAUAACUUCUUCCAACCGCACAGAUAUUUAGUUAACACUUAUUUACAAUGUUUAAACUGGUACUGAUUGCCUGUUCAUGUUCAUUGGUUUUUUUUACAUAAAUUUUGGUCUUCGUCGAUACCAUACUUAUUCCAGACGUUCCGUUCAGAGGACAUUUCAGGCAAUUCCUCUGCAUUCUUGUAUCAUUAUAUCUUCAUCACGUUACAAGAAUAACAGUAUAGAGUACCAUUAAUUCAUAGAACAAACAACAAAAUCGCUGAAGAGAUCAUGGUUUACAAAAUGUCAAAUGAGCCAAUAGACCAAAAAAAUGACAAGUGACAUGUUAAGCGUCUUUUAUGGAGACAAAAAACUAUUAUUCUUAAAAGUCUUUGGGUCUUUCAAUCGAAAUAAUAGCGAAGCUAACUAAAUGAGAAUUAUUAUAAGGGCUAAAUCUCGUCUUACUAGCCAAAUUUAACAAAAUUUAAAGUUGUUUAUAAAAAAAAUAUAUAUCAUGAAUGAUGCUUAAUUACGUUUUCGGUGUAUCAGUUAGACUCAUGGUUUUAUUAUUACAAUAGGAAAACACCCGAGACGUGAAAUCGCAUGGUUCUAUUAAUCAUUGAGGUAACAUCCGAACGUCCCAAAAAUAUAUAGGUGCUCCUAUUAUUGGAGGAACAUUACACAGUUGUGUACACACACAUGGCGGCAUGGAACACGAUCGAGAAAUUCAUUUGACGAUAUCUAAACGUUUCGUAACGAAGGUGAAACUAUCGUGCGCCACGUGGGCGCUUACAUUUGUCACUGUAGCGCCAUUUCUUGUCAAUAUGCGCUAUAGCGCAGGGGGCACGUCAUUCCCGAUCACUGGUUUGACAAGAACACAAACGGACGCUUAAAAUUAGUGCGUCUGCCAACUUUAUUUGCAGUCGGAUGACCUUUUCAGGAAGAAUCUUCCUUCAUAACAGGGGGAACAAUAUGUUUAACCUAUCAUUCAGAAACCCCCACCAACAGAAAUGAAUUUAAAUCGGGACCACCACCCUCCAGAAUACAAUUAUGUUGAUAACCCCCCACCUAUGGAAAAAAAUAUCGUCGGCGUUCCGCCCUCCUAGGUAACUUUUACUGGAAUAGCCCUUAUCUGAGCUAUCCCUCAUAUCUUAAUUAAUUGAGUUAUCUCCUUAUCUUUAUUACUGAGUUAUUUCCCUGGUCUGACAUCCUCCAUUAUCUGAGUUAUCCACCACUAUUUAAUUAUCCGAUGUGACUUUCCCUUAUCAAUUAUCUUAUUUUAUCUGAGUUAUCUCCCUCGGUCUAAUCAUCUGAGUUUGUCCUUUACCUGAGUAUAUCCCUCAUAUCUGAAUUAUCUGAGUUCUUCCCUUAUCAGAGUUAUCUGCCCCCUUGGUGUGGUUAAGAUUCUAAUAAUGAAUCAGAACGAAACAUAUUGUAAAAACAGUUGGAAUAAUAUUUGAUUCAAUCACAGUGUAUAGUAUUUAGGGAGCUACCAUUUGAUUUUUAUGGGGGGCUAGGAUGAAAACUUUUGUCCUGCAUUUUUUUUUAGCUGUAAUCUCAGUCCUGCCUUUUAUUUUGCACUCUGUUCGGUCCUGUUUUUUUUUUUUAGUUUAUUCCUGACUUUUUUUUUUACCUAAAUUGUCGUCCUGACUUUUUUUUUUACCUAAAUUGUCGUCCCUGACUUUUUUUUUUUGCAAGUGUCUCAUCCUGCCUUUUUUUUUACUCAAAACUCCUGUCCUGCUAUUUUUUCAAAUUUCAUCCUAGCCCCCCCCCCCAUAAAAAUCAAUGGUAGCUCCCUUAGCGAAUAUUUUUUCCAACAUAUGUGAAAUGUAUCUGAUUGAUUAAGUCUGUACUAUAUCUCAAAUUGAAGCAGGCAAAUUUGUAAUUAUCCUAGUGUCUGACUUGAAUAUAUAUUUAUUUGCCUUCAGCUUCAAAAAAAAUAUGAGAUGCUUCAAGACUUAUACGCUACCAAAGUUGUGACAUAAUAUUACAGACUGCAAAGGUCAUUAAUUACUUAAAUAUAAGACUCACCAAGUUUAUAUUAUAAAUGACAUUGAAUUAUGAAUAGUAAAUUACAAAUAUGUGACUUAGAUUCAUUAAUUUUUAUGGUCAUAUGGAAACCACAAUUUAAAUACUUGACCAUUUUAUUAUUUGUUGGAAACAAAUUAUGAAACUAAGAAAUUAGUCCUGUCAAAAAGUUCCUUCUGCCUGACAACCAUGAAAAUACAGACUUUUAAACCUACAAUUUAUUGUAUUAGCAGCCUAUACAUGGUAAAUAUUUCAUAUUUAAAUUUUGAACCAAUCAUUAUUAUCAGUAGGUUGUUUCAAAUUAGUCAGGAAUUCAGAGUAUAAUCUGGAAAUUUCACUACCAAUGAAAAACAAGGACAUGUUAGAUUUGGUCAUGCUUGCAAUUACCAAACUUCAGAGUUUUGUAAUUUAUAUGCUUUGAAGACCACAAUGUCUGUAAAACUGGAAUUUGAACAACACUGAAAAAUAUUUGUGCAGCAAUCAGACAAUUUAUCACAAUGAAUUUAUAUCUUGUUUAUUUCCAGUAUAAAUGGUUAAAAGCAGAUAGAGCCUAGACCCAACAAGGUCCAAUUAUCAGCAAAGAAAAGGUGGACAAAGACAUGAAUUCAAGUUUUGGUAGAAAAACAACAAUAAAGUAAAAAUGAUUGAACUUAUAGAGUGUAAAGGUAUAUACUGUAAAACUACAUGUGAACUUAUUUCUAGAAAAAUUUAUGUAUGUGACUUUUCAUGAGUUGAAAUAUAACACAAAUACUAAUCGUGGCAUAUAUUAUAAAAAAGAAGAUGUGGUAUGAUUGCAUGAGACAACUAUCACAACAAAGACCAAAUGACACAGACAUUAACAUAAGGUCACGUACAGCCUUCAACAAAUGAGCAAAGCCAUACCACAUAGUCGGCUAUUAAGGCCUCCGAUAACAUGUUAACAUUGAUCUUUCCCUAUUUUAAAAACAAUCAAGUAAAUUAUGAAAAUAGUGGAAUUAAAAUCGCCAAGAACUUGGUUAGAAAGGGUAAGCAUGAAUUUAAAUAUGCACACAAAACAAUCUAGUUCAGGGCUCCAGAUAAGAAUUCACAAAUUGGGGUUUUUACCCACCAUUUUUUUACGUAAUUGGGUAAUAAAGAUUUUUAAUUGCAUUAUCAAUUUCAGUUCACCUCUCAAGCAAAUAUCAAAUUGGGUUUUUAACUAGUAUUUUUAGCUCCUUUAUGUAUUGAGUUUUUCAUCAACACAAUCACAGAACUCAUCUCAGAUUUCCCCACCCCCCCCCCCCCUGACAUGUAUAUACCUUUAAUAAGGUAUAUAGUGAAAAAAAAUUCUGAGACGUGCCUGUGAACACAAUAUUUGAAUAUUGCAGGCAUGUAACAACACAUUAUACAUACCUUAGAUGUUUUCCCAUAUUAAACUAUAUGUGCAUGCUGUUUUAUUAGUUUAUUCACUGACGAGUCAAUUGUACAUUUUAUUUCAUGUCCGCGUUUUAAACGUUCUUUCCAUACAGUUUUUUAUUUUUCUCACAACUUAUAUAAACGGCACGGAGGCAUGGUGUCACCAUAACAAGUUUUAAAAACAGUAACUUAUAACUUUCACAUCCCAAAUGAUCACCCUACAGUUAGUCGCGGGUAGGCUGGCCGGCUAAGUGUUUAGAUUUUUAUGUUGAUAUUUAGGUGCGUAAGAAAGUUUUGCCAGUACUUGUCACCUAUUGUGUCAGCACAUACAUUUUAAAACAAAAAAUUAAUAAGUAGUCCCAGAUUUGAUUGCAUGUCUUAAAAAACACUAGUACUGUACCUGUUGAAGACAACAAAAAUUCCAACAGGGACCCAUUUCAGCUACUUGAUGCAGGGCUCUUAUUCAUUGGAGAACGAUAAGAAGCAUUAUUCCAAUUAUAAAUAUCUAAAAUAGAUUAUACGCUACCGACCAGUAAUCAGAUAAGGUAAUAACGCAAACAGAUAGCGAGUAAAAAGCAUUAGGAACUCAUGGUUUUGCAUAUAUUGGGUGUUUCCUUUGAAUACAUGGGUUAUUGACCCUGCAAUGGCAAUUGCAUGGAGUUUUAAUUAUUUUUAUUGCGUGAUCACGCAAUACGCAGCUUUAUCUUGGAGCUCUGCUAGUUUACAGUUUAUUUAAGAUGCGUAGUUAAAAAAAGAGCCUCAACAAAUUCAGAUUUUCAAUAUUCAAUUAUAUGUUGAUGGAAAAAUUACAUUUUAGAGGAUAAAAUGAUGUAGGUCUUGAAAUAUGAUAUACUGGACCAAUAAUACCUCAAAAAUGAAGGAUUGCAGAUAUUAUAAGUGGUAAUUAAAAAGUAAUUGUUAUGUAUAGGAAUAGAAGAAGAAUUUAAAGGUAUAUGUCAAUGUGCAAAAACCCAACAACUAAAUAGUUACCAAAUGAAAUAUAUGAGGGCAACGAUUUAAGCACUUCAACAUACAUAUGUGCUUUUUAGUUAUAUAAAAGUUUGAACAAAAAAUAAAAAAAAGCAAAAAAAACCUGCACAUUUCUAUACGAAAAUUAUAUUUUAUAUACCAUUGAGAACAGCGUCUCGAGACAAAUUAGACUUAGAAAAAAAAUGUAAUUGUAAAUGACAAACAAAGAACGAAAAAAGCUGGGAAUAUAUCUUUGAAUAAAGACUAAAAAAUGUUAAAAGCAAUUAAUUCUGUAUUCUUUUAACUCAAUUCAGGUUUCUUUUUAAGAUUUACAAGGUUGACAACAAAGCGCUGUAAGACAAAAUGACGAAAAAUAACAUACAAUUAUUUAAUUUUCAGUUUCAGCAAAUACGAAGUAGACGGAGAACGAAGUCUUACAGGCAAUGUUAAACGUAGCCAAGAAAAAUGAAUCCAUCAGCUUCAGAGGAAAAUUAAGUCUGGUCUGGACUCCGUGAGAAAGCUGCAAGGGCCAACAGAUUUAGGUAUAGUUGUGAUAAAAGAUCAGAUGCCUUGGUUUAUUUAACACCGCAAGUAAACCAAAUAAUAUUUCGCCCAGAGAGUUUAGUCACGCUACUUACAUUAAUAAAAAUGUUGUGAAUACUUUAAUGUCCAAAGUCCAUCCUAUUUUGGGAUCAAACAGUUAAUAAUAUACUAUUCAGAAGACAAGAACUUGUUUUUGUGAACUAAAAAAAAUAAUUUAAAGAGAUAAAGUUUUAUAAAAAAUAAUACUCUAGAAAACCAAAUAACUUGAAAAACACAUUAUAAACAUUAGUUCAUAAGUGCCUCUGUAUAAAAUAAUUCCAGCUAAAAGCACGUCAAUUUUUCUGGCCAUUUCUGCAGCCAUCAUUAUAUGUUUUCUUAAAAGGUGUAGAUACCACAUUGAUUUCUCCCUAUUAGUCUUUGUGUACAAUUUGGCACUUUCAAAAAAAUCUGUAGAAUGUAUCUUUGUUUCAAAUAAAGAAAUACUUUGGCAUGAGUAAAUUGUUAUGCCUGUCCAGUACUAUAGAAAAAAAUCAACAUACCAUUUCAUUUGCAGAUAAGAACAAUAACGAUCACUGGAAGUUAAACCAAUCAAAUUUUUCCCCUUAUUUUACCUGUGUACAAGGUUUAGUCACCAUGUAACCUCAAGAUUACAAUAUAUUCAUAGAAAUCCAAAUAAAAACUAAUGGUGCUUUGAAAUACCCCAAGACAUAUUUUAUGACACAGAAAUUUUUAUGCAAUAAAAUGUAGGAUAUUAAUUACCUACAACUGUCAAAUUCAAGGGAAUAUUUUUUCGACCCUAUUUUCAGUAUACAACCGGAGAUGUGACAUACCAUAAUUUGGUGGUUACACCCUAAAUUGUCAGUUCUUCACACUGUAUUUUUGUGUGAAACUAUAAACAGAGGUUUUAAUCAACCUUCACUUAUUAUUGCAGUUGAUAUCAUAAUUAUGAUUAAUAAAAGUGCAUAACACCCGAACUGGCGCAUUUCGUUGUAUUAAUUGAUUGUUCCGUUAACUAUUGAUUACAGUGAAUUCAUUAUUCAUAGGAUUGACUAUUGAGGAAAGACUAUUUUCAUGAUUAUUUGAUUUCUGUUUUGAUAAAGUUCUGCUUAAAGUCUUUAAAAACAUUUGAAUAUGGUUGAACAUUUGAAAUUACUUUUCACCUUUAUCCUAAAAUCAUGAAAAUUGAUAAUCCCUCAAUAACAAUAAACCAGAGUAUUUAAGGAUGAUCUAAGGUAAAUUUAAAUAAAUCAAGAAUCAAAAUUGAUACUUUAAGCUGAAAGUAUUGAAAAGAUCAAACUAAGCUAAAAAUAUGUGAUAGGUCAUGGAGGCUCCUUUUUGAUAUAUUUGAUAUAAAAAAUGGCGGGAAAAGGCUGAACGUGGACCUUUUACUUAAUUUUGCCAUUGUAUUAUUGGGUCUCAAAUCAAAAAGAGAGAAAAUCAAGAAUCCUCUUAAAUUUUGUAAAAUGACCUUUUAUGAAUUAUAAAGUUCUUAUCUUAAAAGAAAAAUAGGUGUUAUGGAGGCAAAAUAUUUUUACAUUCAUUUGUAUCGUAUGACAAACACUGAGGAGUCCGAAACAUUUGACACUUAUUCCAAAAUCUUCACCUAAGAUACAUCCUUAAUAUUUCUAAAAUUUUUAAAAAUGAUAUAUUACGAGCGUUUUCCUCCUGAACAUGUACCGCGAAUAUCAAAUCUUUGAAAACAGUGAAGAAUGAACCUGUCACACAAGAUCAGUCAUCGAUUAUCAUCACUAAGGAAGAAUGAUGAAGAACGCUUAGAGACUGGAAAAACUGAAAUUAAGAUGAACGAGUGCCCUAAUUACUGAGGUGUACCAAUCAAGAUUUGAGGGUAGUAACAAAAUGAGAGUCACUGCGGUUAAAUUCAGAAGAGCAUAAUAAAAAAUUUUUUAAAGACUUUUAAGAAUUUCCAAGAUUUACAGUUCUUUAUACAUCCUUGGCUUUCAAAUGUUCUGCUUUGGCCUUUCUGAUGAAGGUUUAUCCAGAAAAGCCCUCUGGUAACAUUGAAUUUUUACAGUCUUAUUUUUUUUUUCCUAGUAGGGAAGCACAGGGAAUCAUCUAGAAAGAUUUGCCAAAGCCCUUAAAGUUUUUAGCAAUUUCACCCACAGCUUAAUUUAUAAUAUUAAGACAUUACAUAUGAAGCUGCGUGGUAUUAGAAAUUACCUAAUCCAAAUUGCAUGUAUACUAUGUACUAUAGUUUUAAGGAUGUACAUGGUUGAGGUUAGGUGAAAAUUAAUUACAUCAAGAAUUUAAAAUUGGUUUAUAAGCUGGUUAGAGCAAUCGUUAAGGAUAAAAUUAAGCUAAAAAAAUGGUUAGGUCAUGGACCUCCUUUUCGAGAUAUUUGAGAUUUUAAAUAUGGCGGGAAAAGCUGACUCGGAACUUUUACCCUUAUAUUGCAUUGGUAUAUUUGGGUCUCAAAACAAAAAGAAAGAAAAUCAAAGAAUCUUCUAAAAUUUUGGUAAAUGACUUGUCAUGGAGCUAUUAAGUCUUAUAUAAAAAAAUAAUUAGGUGUCAUGGGCAAAUAUUUUACUUGUAUNNNNNNNNNNNNNNNNNNNNNNNNNUAAAACUACUUUACCGAUGUUUACUGCUCUUUUUCAAAAUAACAAACUUUUUAAAAAGAUGGAUAUAAAUUGAUAGGACAUAAACAACUAAACCAAACAUUGUAAAAAAAGCAGACAAAAAGUUAGAUCUGUCAUUAGCUUUAGGGGCCAUUGAAAAGUUUGGGGGGGGGGGAAAUGAUAGUUCUCUCUAGAUUUUUCAUACAUUUAAUAUUGGUACCAAUUUUUUCUGCCAUACUGUAAAAAAAAAAUAUAAAAAGAAUUUUAUAGGAUUUUCAAAAAUGGCUUUUGAAGCUAUAUGUAUUAAAAUAAUGAAGAGAAAAGUGUGGCUAGUGGGGAAAUCUGUAUAAUGGAAUAACAUGGGAUCCUGAAUUUUUUAUAAAAAACAAAAAUAGGAGCAGCAAACAUUCUUAAUACUUGGUAUUGUGUGCAUUUAUUAUUUUGAUUGUGAUUAAUGAAUGUGAGACAAAUUAUUCCAAUUUCAGGAAAUAAUGCAUUCAAAUAUGGAAAUGAAACUGCAAUUUUCACAAUUAUAAAAACAUCAAAAUAAAGUCUUCAUUUUCAAUAUCUAAAAAUAGGAAAUAGGUAGGAUGUCUAAUAUGUCAGAAAGACAAACUUUUUGUUCAGAGAAAGACCUCAGACUCAUCUGUUAUGAGAUAUCAAAACUAUAAAUGCUAUUUUCAUACGUUGAAAUUUAUAGUGUACUGACUUAAAAGCCUUGUUUAUUUUCAAUGCUCUUUAAAAAAAUCAAAUCGUUUCUCAACAAAUCUAUAUUCUAUACAAGAUUAUGUGCACGGAAAUUUUGUCAACACAGAGCAAUCAAUGACUGUCAAAUAUCAUGCUCUUUAAUAUAAUUGAAAUGGGAGAAGUAUUAUACACCAAGUACACAUUGACUUUCAAACUGUUAUGCUUCCAAGCAAAUCCUUGUUUCAAGUAACAUUGACAACUAUACUUUUAUCUCACAAUAUUACUUCAAAAGCAUUGAUGAAUCUCUAUUUUAACACAUUGUUGAUAUUAUCAAGAUUUUUGAUUUUAUCUAGUUCCACAUAAGAAAAUUUCCACCUCAUGCAAAAAUAUGAAAAUAAUUGAUGACUUUUGAGAACAGCUAUAUAAAAAAGAAGAUAUGGUAUGAUUGCCAAUGAGACAACUAUCCACAAAAGACCAAAAUGACACAGACAUUAACAACUAUAGGUCACUGUACGGCCUUCAACAAUGAGCAAAGCCAAUACCGCAUAGUCAGCUAUAAAAGGUGUUCCUUAACUUAGACCUAACAUCUUUAUUCAUUUUCCGAAACAAUUUAAGUUUUGAUGCUCAAUUGUGACUAGUUGUAAAAAUAUCAGACACUAAACCUAUCAGCAUGUUUCAUUUCAUUUGAAAUCAGAGAAACAAUUUAAUAGCCAUGUCAAAAUAUUUAAAAUAAAUGUCUUCUAGCGAAUGCUGAAUAUUGCGAUUGGAUUUCAAGUCUCUAAUUCAAGCUGAGAAAUUGUAGAAAUUGAGGGAAAUUACAACUCUUGUGAAGUUCUAUACCACUGUAAUGGAUUUUCUAAUAAAAAGCUUUAAAAAUCAAAGGCUUAUAAAAAUUCUAUAUUAUUGUGAUGGUAUUUUGAAGGCAAGAUAUAUAAACUAUUGUAGUUUUGAAAUGAAAAUGUUUGAUAUCUGAGCACUUGAUUUUGGGAUACAAUACUCUGAUAUAAUCAUGAUUAUUUAAAGAACUUUUAGUGAGCAAUCUAAUAUACACUAAAUCACCUAUAUACAGAAGGAAAAUUUUAAAUUGACCUAAUGGCAUUGUUUUUUUUCUCUGUCCUUUUUUAUGACCUUAAGGAGGUAGACCUAGAAUAAGGGAAAUAACUCUUAAAAUCAUCGGUACGUUUGUGUCAACCAUUUUCAAAAAUAAAUACUAAGCUUCUAGAUUACAUAGAUUAUUUUCAAUCUGUUUCAGGUAAAUGCUUAAAAUACAUUGAUGAACUUGACUUUUACAAACGCUUAACUGAUUUAAAGAGUUAUCUCCCUGAACCAAAUUACUCAAACUAACAAGAAUGUGUCCAUAUGCAAAUUGCACUAUGUUCAUUGGACGGUGAAAUUGGGGUCACAACUCGAAUUUGGCAUUCAUAUUAAAAAGUUCAUAUCAUAAGGAACAUGAGUACUGAGUUUCCAGUUGAUUUUACUUCAACUUCAUCAAAAACUAUCUUGACCAAAAACUUCAACCUGAAGCUGGACAAAUGGAUGGACCGACAGAGGAACAGACCGCAAAACAUUAUGCUCCUAAUUUUUACUUUUAUGGAUACUUGAUUUUGUUGUUUUAAAAAUUCUGCAUUAAGGGAGAUAACUCUGUAAAGUCAGCUAAACGUUUUAAUUACACUGUGUUGUAAAGGGAAUAUGAAGCUUCUCACUGAUCAAAGUUGGUGUUUGUCAAACUGCUAUAUAAUCAGUGUAAUUUUUCUGACAAAACAGUUGGUUCAAAAUUUUUGUUAAAGGGUCAAAGUAAAUACAUUGUCAAAAUUUUAUGAAAAUUAAACGAGCCAAAUUGAUUUUAAUGAAAGUGUUGGAUACCACCUUAAACCUUCCACAUUAGGGUCAGCUGAAGCAUGCCUACAGGUGCAGGAUUUUCUCUAUGUAUUGAAGACCCAAUGAUGGUCUUUGGCUGUUAUCUGAUCUUUGGUCGGGUUAUUGUCUCUUUGAAACAUUCCCCAUCUCCAUUAUCAAUUUUACAUAAAUUUGUGGUUAACCUAUAUCAACAAAACCAACAAGAAAAAGAACACAUCCAAUAAAAAAAAAUCAAAUUAUCUAGUAAUGACGAAAAAUUGUACAAAACUGGACAACUUCACACUUUUAUUAGAUUUCAUUUCAUUAUUCUGAAGAGAGAAAUGGAGAAAAUAAUAUGAAAACAUUAAAGACUCUCCUAUCCCAUAAACAAUGUCUCAAUUUCUUAAAGUGGUAGUCUCAAAAUGUAUUAUUUUACCCCAGCUGAAUAUACCAUGCAUAGAUGACCAUCCUUUCUAAUGAAUAAAUAAAAUACACAUACAAUGUACAAUGGUUCAAUAUGCAACACACUCAAACAAACAGAAGAUGACAAACAUAUUAAUUAUCACAUAAAAUAAUAUUCAUUUCAACAAAAUCUGUUGUUUUGAGAUGGUCCACAAUGAACACCAAUACAUCAUUCUGUCACAGCAACAAGAUUUAAUAAACUCCCAAUAUGCAAUAUAUCAGGGAUGGAGAUAGCUAUAAGAAUUAAGUGAUUUUUGAGUAUUAUUAUUUUCCUAUACAUUUUAUAGUCUAUGACUAUCCUUACUUGUCACAGUUUCAUUAUAUAAGAUAAAUUCGUGAGAAAAAAAUGAAUUUAGAGUAUUUAAAUUUUCGUACUAGAUUUAAUAGUCUAUGAUUGUAUCAUUGUUACAUCAUAAGAUGUCAAAACUUCAUUAUAUACGAUAAAUGUCCAUUAUAUAUGAUAAAUGUCCAUUAUAUACGAUAAAUGUCCAUUAUAUACGAUAAAUGUCCAUUAUAUACGAUAAAUGUCCAAGAAUAAAAUGAUUUGAAGCAAAAAAUAACAAAAUAAAAAUAUGUACUGCUCCUACUAUUAGAUUUCCAUGUUAAGUGAACUGCAAAAUCUGCAUUGACAUGCUUAUUUAACGGCUCUCCUCUUGAUGAACAUAUUUACUAACAGGAUACUUGAUUUAGUGUUUUUCAUAAAUUCUGUAAAUUAUCAUAUACGAAAUUUGUAUUUUAUAUGAGGAUGGUAAAGGGUUAUUUUCGUGCAAUGUGUUUUGCCAUUUUUUUUUAUUUUUUUUUUGUCCUUUCGUGAAAAAGGUUUGUUAUUCACCGUGUUUUGUGAAAUCGGUAAAUAGAUCGUUCAUCGUGAAAUGGCAAUUUUAUUUCGCGUUCUUCUGUAAAGAUACCCUCCUUUAUGCUCCUCUUUAAUUGGCUCAGCUUUAUCCACAUAUUCAACGAAAUUAUUUCCAUACAGUAAGGGAGCUUAGUAACCAUUUGAUUUUUAUGGGGGGGCUAGGAUGAAAUUUGAAAAAAAUAGGCAGGACAGGAGUUUUGAGUAAAAAAUAAAGGCAGGAUGAGACACUUGCAAAAAAAAAAAAGUCAGGACGACAAUUUAGGUAAAAAAAAGUCAGGAUAAACUAAAAAAAAAAAGGCAGGACCGAACAGAGUGAAAAAUAAAAAGGCAGGACAGAGAUUACAGCUAAAAAAAAAUACAGGACAAAAUUUUUCAUCCUAGCCCCCCCCCCC